GAGAGUGGGUUAGUCCGUACGAGCGCACCCUAUCCUUAGUUGCCAGCGAGUCAUGUCGGGAACUCUAGGGAGACUGCCGGUGACAAACCGGAGGAAGGUGGGGACGACGUCAAGUCAUCAUGGCCCUUAUGGGCAGGGCUACACACGUGCUACAAUGGCCGGUACAGAGGGCAGCGAUGUCGCAAGGCGGAGCAAAUCUCAGAAAACCGGUCGUAGUCCGGAUUGCAGUCUGCAACUCGACUGCAUGAAGUUGGAAUCGCUAGUAAUCGCGGAUCAGAACGCCGCGGUGAAUACGUUCCCGGGCCUUGUACACACCGCCCGUCACACCAUGGGAGUGGGCUGUACCAGAAGUAGGUAGUCUAACCUUCGGGAGGACGCUUACCACGGUGUGGUUCAUGACUGGGGUGAAGUCGUAACAAGGUAGCCCUAGGGGAACCUGGGGCUGGAUCACCUCCUU
RNAcentral lists this ribosomal RNA (457 nucleotides) under uncultured Thiotrichales bacterium. RNAcentral describes it as "bacterial SSU rRNA". It matches the Rfam family "Bacterial small subunit ribosomal RNA", at positions 1072 to 1532 of the family's 1533-position model. Lineage: Bacteria; Pseudomonadati; Pseudomonadota; Gammaproteobacteria; Thiotrichales. The record is from RNAcentral.